UUACCUUUGCUAAUUAUCCACCACAAAAAGCAAAGCAUUUUGAUAUGGCUUCAAAACCUUUGUCCUUUUUUCUCAUUCUCACAAUGGUUGGAUUUUUUUUUUGGCUAAAGGUUGAAGGACGGAAUGUUAGCUUUUUGCCUAGCAAGAAAGAUGAGGAUUGUGGUGAGGUUUGCGGUGUGUCAUUCACCCAUCUUUGGUUGCAGUUACUGAAAUUAACAGGGACAGAAAUUAAGAAGAAAAUUUGAUGUAAAAGUUUGGUUGGUUGCAUAAUAUAUUGUAACAUGAUUCCUUGUUUUCCGAUCCAUUUCAUGUAACUUAGUAGAAGGCAUUAAUCUAUUAUACAAAAAACAUACUGGUCCUACUUUUAAA
Molecule: long non-coding RNA, 369 nt
Organism: Nicotiana attenuata
Lineage: Eukaryota; Viridiplantae; Streptophyta; Magnoliopsida; Solanales; Solanaceae
Exons: 2
Source: RefSeq, a predicted model, not a curated record